AGUCGAUGCUACUUUCUCACAGAAAUAAAAUCUCUCCUCCCAUUCGUCUCUCUCUUCAUCUUUCGUCUCUCCCAUGUUACUCUUCAUCUCGUUAUGACCAGAAAAAACUUUCAAUCCAUUCAAUAAUUCUGGUAUAAGUUCACACACACACACACACACAUAUAUAUAUAUAUAUAUAUAUAUUCUGAAUAAUCAAUAGUCAUCACUGUGUUUAUAUGAAAUUCUUUCAAAUCCAACGUCCAAUUGUAAUUUUUGAAUUUUGGGUUGUCGUGAAAACCAAGAAGGCAAGAGCAGAGAUGGGUCUGGAUUUGAUCGACUCGUCGUCUCUCCCUCCGCGCCUUAGACGACUCCUCGUCCUCCGCCACCAAACCAGACGAAUCGACCGAAAACGGCACCGUUUCAGCGCCUGAGGAUGCCAAAGCUACGACGGACAACGACUAUCCGAGCGGCGAGUUUCAGUUUCAGGAGGCGAGCCUGUGGAAGAGCUCCGAAUGCUCUUUGCUUAUCCUUGGUUUUGAUCCAUUCUCACAUUUUUUUUUGCUUUUGAUUUUUUGUGUAUUUACAGUGUUUGGUGUUGAUUUUCAAAGAGCUGUGGUUUUUGGUUUUUCUAACUUCAAUUUGAGCUUAUAUGGAGAUUCUUGUAGGUAAGUUUGUUGUGGCAUAUGCACCUGCUUGUAGUAAAAAAGAAUAUUACCUUGCUUCUGCUUGUCAAGAGAUUUAUGCCCCUCCAAGUGCUUAAUUUUCUCUGUUUCGUCUCAGUGUUCAGGCAUCAUUUGUUAGAGCGGUUCUUGAGAAAAUUGGAGUUGAGCCACAAGUGGAAAGGAUUGGUAAAUAUAAAAGUUCUGUUGACCAACUUGCGCGCCCGACCAUGUCCGACGAAAAUUGAGACAUGCUGACAGCAUUGCUCGAUAACAUAUAUGGGAACUGGCUGGACAUAAUUUCUUCUACAAGAGAAAAAAAGAGAGAAGAUAUUGAGAAGUCUGUUAAUGAAGGGGUGUACCAUGUAGAGAAGCUGAAAGAAAGGGCUAGAUCACAAACAUACAGUAUGAUGAUGAGGGCUCUUGCAGUUUACUAAUUUUGGAUAUGUUAUGAUUACAUUGUUCAGUUGUUGAAAUUUGAUAGAAAGUCAUCUGGGGAGUAGUUGUUCUUGAAAGCUUUUUUCUUUAUGUGAUCAUAUUCAGGAAG
This is a long non-coding RNA of Rosa chinensis, 1185 nucleotides long. RefSeq lists it as uncharacterized. The record is from RefSeq and is a predicted model, not a curated record. Lineage: Eukaryota; Viridiplantae; Streptophyta; Magnoliopsida; Rosales; Rosaceae. The transcript is spliced from 4 exons.